Polypterus senegalus (gray bichir) is the source of this 405-nucleotide long non-coding RNA. RefSeq lists it as uncharacterized. NCBI's taxonomy places the organism in Eukaryota, Metazoa, Chordata, Cladistia, Polypteriformes, Polypteridae. The record is from RefSeq and is a predicted model, not a curated record. The transcript has 3 exons.
AACCGACGGGCGAUGGACGCGAAUUUCCACUCGAGGGCCAGUGAAAUGAAUCGGCCCGCCAUACCAUCGACCCAAAUGUGCGGCCGCUCCUCCUGUGCACCUGGAGAACAAACCGCACUACAGGAUACACACUGCACAGAUCAUGGACACUUCAUGCUGGAUGGGACAAGAACACCGAGCCAAACAUCAGCUUUGUCCGGACCACCCACGACCCAACUCCAGUGAGAGAAAACUGAGGCACCUGGAGGAACCUCACAUGGACAUGGGGAGAACAUGCCAACUCCAUGCUGGGAGCAGCUGGGAUGUCAACCCUAGUCUCUCUGUGUUGCAAGGCAGCAGCGAUACCAUUUCCCUGCCAUGCUCAGCAUUUCUUAUGAUGAGAUUACAAAUAAAACAGGAAAAAAA